AGUGAACGCUGGCGGUAGGCCUAACACAUGCGAGUCGAACGGCAGCACAGUAAGAGCUUGCUCUUACGGGUGGCGAGUGGCGGACGGGUGAGGAAUACAUCGGAAUCUACUUUUUCGUGGGGGAUAACGUAGGGAAACUUACGCUAAUACCGCAUACGACCUACGGGUGAAAGCAGGGGAUCUUCGGACCUUGCGCGAUUGAAUGAGCCGAUGUCGGAUUAGCUAGUUGGCGGGGUAAAGGCCCACCAAGGCGACGAUCCGUAGCUGGUCUGAGAGGAUGAUCAGCCACACUGGAACUGAGACACAGUCCAGACUCCUACGGGAGGCAGCAGUGGGGAAUAUUGGACAAUGGGCGCAAGCCUGAUCCAGCCAUACCGCGUGGGUGAAGAAGGCCUUCGGGUUGUAAAGCCCUUUUGUUGGGAAAGAAAAGCAGCAGGUUAAUACCCCGCUGUUCUGACGGUACCCAAAGAAUAAGCACCGGCUAACUUCGUG
RNAcentral lists this ribosomal RNA (492 nucleotides) under uncultured bacterium. RNAcentral's name for it is "partial 16S ribosomal RNA". It matches the Rfam family "Bacterial small subunit ribosomal RNA", at positions 29 to 507 of the family's 1533-position model. The record is from RNAcentral.